Long non-coding RNA from Acinonyx jubatus (cheetah), 784 nucleotides. RefSeq lists it as uncharacterized. The transcript is spliced from 2 exons. The record is from RefSeq and is a predicted model, not a curated record. Lineage: Eukaryota; Metazoa; Chordata; Mammalia; Carnivora; Felidae.
CGGAGUGCAAAACACCUUUCUAUUCCUACUGGGCUGAAAAUCACUGCCAAACCCGCCCUUUAACCAGAAAGGGCCAGUGAUAACUCAGUUUAUAAUGUGAACAAACCAUCUACCUGCAGUGUUCUGAACCUUUUGGAAAGAAUGCAGGAUUGUGAGGAAAGAGGGGGGGAGAAAAUGAACGAAUGAAUGAAUCAAUGAAUCAAUGAAUAGUGGCUUGGUCUUCCAAAUCUGCUUCACAUUCUCAUAUUCCCAAUACCCAUUUCCCGCAAAUACGUCCCGGGUCCAGGAAGAACGUCUUUCAGCAUCUGCCUUUAAUUUGGCCCUUCUACCCUCCUCCUUCCUCCCCCCUCCUUUUCUCUCUCCCCUCCUCCCAGCUCUUAUCCCACAAGGAAUAGGGAGGAACGAAACACACGCGCGCGCGCGCGUACACACACACACACACACACACACACACACACACACACACACACGGCUCCCUGUGAACAAAUGGAGAAGAGAUCAGAGAGGAAAGGAGAAGAGAAUGCGGAGGUGCACCAAACAGGAGGAAAGGGCAGCUCGCACAACGGGGCACAAAGAGAAGCCAAGAUGGCUGUCCCCGAGCUCCAGCAGGCAGGGCUGUUUCUGAUUAGGAAUCUGAUUUUCACCGAAGCUUUCUACAAAAACCAAGACUUAAGACUUCUCCAGUAGUGUGGUAAAUGCCUAGAGCUAAGAUCUGGGAGACCAAGAGAACAGUCUUGAUGGCCAUGAAGUAGCCACGUGGCUAGGAAUAAAUCAUGUAACCUUU